UAUGGCAAUAAAUUACAAAUGAAUUAAGUGAAAAAAAAUAUGCAUAUGUAAUAGAAAGAUUUUAACGUGCAAAUUCAAAUAAAAGACACUAAACUUUUUCUGAAAAGUGCGCUCAUAAACUAGUCCUAAGGCAAACUUACUGCCAUAAUUACAUAAGGCAAGGAAGUUAAGCUAUGGGAAGAACAGUAUGCAUUUUUUCCUACUUAUUUCUGAAUUAUGAAGCGAUCUACUUAAAAGCUUUUCUGAUUAUGUAAAUUUAAGAAGCAGCUAGCUUAUGCCUUCUGUCCCAAAUACCAAGUAACAGAAAUUAAAGCUCAAUUCCUUGUUUUUCUGCUCCUGUCAAAGGUGGAGAGAGAAGACCUCUAGAGCUUUAGGCACAAAAGAAACAUUUACAAUAAAGAAUUUAGACCACAUGGUUUAGUGACAACUAAGAAGUUGGUUAAAAGUCACACAAGUACAAGAAUGACAGAGCUGUCCAAUGAGUGAUCACAGUGGGGCUUCUGACAACAGACCUAGUGCUUAUUUAUACAAGUGGAACUUAUUUUCACAUACAUUUAAGGAAUGUGGACUUGUACUGAGACAAUUUACUGCUGGCGGAAAUGUAAUUAAAGAUUGUGCUAACCAAAUAAACUGUAAUUUGUUUUUAGUGUGCCACCAAAUUAUCUGCAAAACAAAAUCCUAAUUAGGUCAGCUACUUUUAAGACAACAUUUAAAUAGGUAUCAACCCCCUUUUGGUUUAAUUCAAUUUCUAGUCAAGAGCAAUACAGUUAUUUUUUUAAAAGACAUUCAAAUCCACAAAAAUAUAUCUUGCAUGAUCCAAGCAGCCACUUGAUAUUGAGAAGCUAUGAAUAUACGUUAGAUUUGUGAAUGAUCCAAGCCUUUCUAAAUACACUUCAGGAUGCACUACUAUAUUCAUUUUUUUCUUAUCCCUUUACUGUUCAUAGGUGUUCACCUCCAGUCAUUCAAAUGUUCAGUUCCAUAUGUUGUCAAUAGAGCCAUUCACAUUUCAUGAACAAGGCAGCAUGACCUCCACAAAGGGCAAUUGAACAGAAUUAGCCACAACUAAUUGAAAGUCUUCCUGCUUUAGGUUAAAACCCUUAUCUCCUUCUUCAAUUGUAAUAAAAACUACCAAAUAAGACAUCCCGUGAUAAGAGAUUAAGUAUCAAUCUAAAACUCUCCAAUCUACUUUUAAUUAAACUAAGGUUUAAUAACACACAAAGAAUAUGCUUUUGAUGGUCAACAAUUCCACAAUUCACAAAUAAAGAUGUUAAUUAUCACAAUGAUUUAAAAGCGAUUUCUUUCUACCACCAGUAUUAGGACAUCAGGAUAGUCUACUAGAAUUGGUUGAAAACUUCGAAUUUCCAUUGCAAUUCCGCUAGGCCCAAAUCUAAGGAUUAAAGAUGAACUGCACUUUUAUUUCUUUUCAACAGAUAACUAUUUAAAAAAAGGAAACAAGUUUCAAUUAUUUGUUUACAUUUUACACGAGUCCUCUAAUUUUAACAAAACUAGGGCUGGGAGAAAAUAAGAUGACAUUUGGGAAGAAUCAGCCAGUCUAACUACAUUUUCGUCCUUGUUCUUGCACGCAGUUGGCAGUGAUUUUAGGUUUUCAGACUUCACAGCUAGCAUCCAAAAAACUUGCAUAACAGCUCCCAACACUCUCUCCUAAACCUUCUGGGCGGGCUGAGAAGCUACAGAAAUCACGCCCUUGGAUCUGAAAACUCUAGUGCCUUUCCUUCCGUAUCUAUCGAUCGGUCUUGCAACUUCUUGCUGGAACGAGGAUGUGUUACGAUUUGGUCGAGGAGGAAGAUUUAUAGAGUUUCCUAAUGUGAAAUCAAGCACAACAAAAGGAUGCCUACCAUAGCUUGGACAGUGCCCCAACUCAGUUGAGGGGGCUUUCCAAAUAAAAGGAGCGCCUUCAACGGCUGGCUAGGAACAGGAAAAAGAGCCUGAAGCAGUUAGAAACUUCAGUUGAGCCACAGACUCAUACACUCAGUGUGGUGGACUGCGAACUCCAGUAAUCCGCAGGUUGCCAUCUCUAGGAGAGGCGGGGGCGCGCAUCUGAAUCCCUUUGGAAAGCUCCGGGAGCGGGACGCAGACUCUACCCCCUGGAAUUGUCAGUGGCUCUCUCCCCUCGCCUAUCUGCCUCCAGGAGGGGCGCAAACCAGGGCCCAUCUGCGCGGCCCUCAAGGCACUGGGAGACUGAGGUUCCGAUGGAUCCAUCCCCGAGGUGAUUGGGGCCACAGGAUGUUGGAACGGAUGGCGAUAUCAGCGAUCAUCUGGGAAUACCUUCCUCCUCUACCUGUCGAAAUAGAACCAGAGAAGAUAGAGGAGAGGGAAUGCUCUUUGAAGAAAUUUGUAUGACAGAUGACAGACUGGUGAAGGAGGUAACUGACAUGAAUUCCAGCUCCUGAGCUCUUCUUUUGCUUCUUCAUGGAGAAACUGAAAAGUCAAGAAUAUCUGUCUAUUGAUAUGACUGGGAUCCCAUCGGAAAGAACUAUGUGGCUCUUGUCCAGAAUAUAAUGCUUUAGAUCAGGGGUCCUGCAAAGCUUUUUGAAGAGAAGCGGAAUGGUUGAGCAAUUGAAGCCUCAGAAUGACCAAGAUUGAUGGUUUGGUACAAGGUGGUGGGAGAGUGUCUACAGUUGGGGAGACCAUAAAUGUGAUGUGGAGAAUGUAGAGGUGGGGUAUCGACUAGACAGCAUUCAACCUCACCUCUCUCCUUUGCAUUCUGUAAGCUGCCUAAAACCAUGGCCCUGGAAUCAGUCAUAAAAAUACUGCCAGCAAAAAACUACCUCUUACAAGGUGGUCUCAGUUGCAAGGUGGUUCCAUGUGGUAAUUUAUUAUGUCUAAGCUAUGACCCAUCUAAUGUAACACCCCAGCCUCACCCUGUAAAUCUCUCUAAGAGCUCUCUUUGAUUCUUUAUAGCUUUUGCCACACUUUGUACUCAAUAUUUAAACAGUUUCCAUUAAUUGUCACCACAAUUAGAUGAUAAACUCCACAUGACAAGAACCACAUCUGUUUUGUUUAUCACCAUAUAUAUCACACAUACUAGUUCCUGAAACAUAAUAAUUAUGUAAUAAAUAUAUGAUGACUAAAUGAAUGAAUGAGUGAAUGACUAAAGCAUGUGCCAUUUUUUUUGUAACUUAGAGAGUAUUAAUACCACUUCUCAAAGUGUGAAAAUGUGACUAUAUGAACAUG
This is a long non-coding RNA of Pteropus alecto (black flying fox), 3195 nucleotides long. RefSeq lists it as uncharacterized. The transcript is spliced from 4 exons. NCBI's taxonomy places the organism in Eukaryota, Metazoa, Chordata, Mammalia, Chiroptera, Pteropodidae. The record is from RefSeq and is a predicted model, not a curated record.